AGAGUUUGAUCAUGGCUCAGAAUCAACGCUGGCGGCGUGCCUAACACAUGCAAGUCGAACGAGAAAGUGGAGCAAUCCAUCAGUAAAGUGGCGCACGGGUGAGUAACACGUGACUAACCUACCCUUGAGUGGGGGGAUAACUGAGGGAAACCUUAGCUAAUACCGCAUAAUACCCACGGGUCAAAGGAGCAAUUCGCUCGAGGAGGGGGUCGCGGCCGAUUAGUUAGUUGGCGGGGUAAUGGCCCACCAAGACGAUGAUCGGUAUCCGGCCUGAGAGGGCGCACGGACACACUGGAACUGAAACACGGUCCAGACUCCUACGGGAGGCAGCAGUGGGGAAUUUUGCGCAAUGGGGGAAACCCUGACGCAGCAACGCCGCGUGGAGGAUGAAGUCCUUCGGGACGUAAACUCCUUUCGAUCGGGACGAUUAUGACGGUACCGGAAGAAGAAGCCCCGGCUAACUUCGUGCCAGCAGCCGCGGUAAUACGAGGGGGGCGAGCGUUGUUCGGAAUUAUUGGGCGUAAAGGGUGCGUAGGCGGUUUGGUAAGUCUUGUGUGAAAUCUAUGGGCUCAACUCAUAGUCUGCACGAGAAACUGCCGGGCUUGAGUGUGGGAGAGGUGAGUGGAAUUUCCGGUGUAGCGGUGAAAUGCGUAGAUAUCGGAAGGAACACCUGUGGCGAAAGCGGCUCACUGGACCACAACUGACGCUGAUGCACGAAAGCUAGGGGAGCAAACAGGAUUAGAUACCCUAGUAGUCC
RNAcentral lists this ribosomal RNA (757 nucleotides) under uncultured bacterium. RNAcentral describes it as "bacterial SSU rRNA". It matches the Rfam family "Bacterial small subunit ribosomal RNA", at positions 8 to 796 of the family's 1533-position model. The record is from RNAcentral.